AUUGAACGCUGGCGGCAUGCUUUACACAUGCAAGUCGAACGGUAACAGGCCUUCGGGUGCUGACGAGUGGCGAACGGGUGAGUAAUGCAUCGGAACGUACCCAGUGGCGGGGGAUAACGCAGCGAAAGCUGUGCUAAUACCGCAUGUGAUCUGAGGAUGAAAGCGGGGGACCGAGCAGCAAUGUUUGGCCUCGCGCCUUUGGAGCGGCCGAUGUCGGAUUAGCUAGUUGGGGGGGUAAAGGCCUACCAAGGCGACGAUCCGUAUCGGGUCUGACAGGGCGACCCGCCACACUGGGACUGAGACACGGCCCAGACUCCUACGGGAGGCAGCAGUGGGGAAUUUUGGACAAUGGGCGCAAGCCUGAUCCAGGAAUGCCGCGUGAGGGAAGAAGGCCUUCGGGUUGUAAAGCGCUUUAGGCAGGAGCGAAACGGUGUCCGCUAAUACCGGGCGCUAAUGACGGUACCUGCAGAAUAAGCACCGGCUAACUACGUG
RNAcentral lists this ribosomal RNA (492 nucleotides) under uncultured bacterium. Its description in RNAcentral is "partial 16S ribosomal RNA". It matches the Rfam family "Bacterial small subunit ribosomal RNA", at positions 29 to 507 of the family's 1533-position model. The record is from RNAcentral.